GACGAACGCUGGCGGCGGGCUUAACACAUGCAAGUCGAACGGAAAGGCCCUGCUUUUGUGGGGUUCUCGAGUGGCGAACGGGGGAGUAACACGUGUGUAACCUGCCCUUCACUUUGGGAUAACUUCAGGUAACUGGGGCUAAUACCGGAUAGGAGCUCCUGCUGCAUGGAGGGGGUUGGAUAGUUUCGGCCGUUGGGGCUGGAUUGGCGGCUUAUCAGCUUGUUGGUGGGGUAGUGGCUUACCAAGGCUUGGACGGGUAGCCGGCAUGGGAGGGUGGCCGGCGUCCAGGCGACUGAGGGACGGCCCAGACGGGUACGGGAGACAGCAGUGGGGAAUAUUGCACAGUGGGAGCACGCGUGAUGAAGAGGCGUCGGGUGCGGGAUGACGGCCUUUGGGUUGUAAAACGCUUUCGGCUGUGACGAAGCGUGAGUGACGGUAAUGAGUAAAGAAGCACCGGCUAACUACGUG
Molecule: ribosomal RNA, 468 nt
Filed under: uncultured bacterium
Lineage: Bacteria
Description: partial 16S ribosomal RNA
Rfam family: Bacterial small subunit ribosomal RNA
Source: RNAcentral